Molecule: ribosomal RNA, 497 nt
Filed under: uncultured bacterium
Lineage: Bacteria
Description: partial 16S ribosomal RNA
Rfam family: Bacterial small subunit ribosomal RNA
Source: RNAcentral
GAUGAACGCUGGCGGCGUGCCUAAUACAUGCAAGUCGAGCGAACAGACGAGGAGCUUGCUCCUCUGACGUUAGCGGCGGACGGGUGAGUAACACGUGGAUAACCUACCUAUAAGACUGGGAUAACUUCGGGAAACCGGAGCUAAUACCGGAUAAUAUAUUGAACCGCAUGGUUCAAUAGUGAAAGACGGUUUUGCUGUCACUUAUAGAUGGAUCCGCGCCGCAUUAGCUAGUUGGUAAGGUAACGGCUUACCAAGGCAACGAUGCGUAGCCGACCUGAGAGGGUGAUCGGCCACACUGGAGCUGAGACACGGUCCAGACUCCUACGGGAGGCAGCAGUAGGGAAUCUUCCGCAAUGGGCGAAAGCUUGACGGAGCAACGCCGCGUGAGUGAUGAAGGUCUUCGGAUCGUAAAACUCUGUUAUUAGGGAAGAACAAAUGUGUAAGUAACUAUGCACGUCUUGACGGUACCUAAACAGAAAGCCACGGCUAACUACGUG